RNAcentral lists this ribosomal RNA (253 nucleotides) under uncultured bacterium. Its description in RNAcentral is "partial 16S ribosomal RNA". It matches the Rfam family "Bacterial small subunit ribosomal RNA", at positions 524 to 776 of the family's 1533-position model. The record is from RNAcentral.
GACGGAGGAUGCAAGCGUUAUCCGGAAUGAUUGGGCGUAAAGCGUCCGCAGGUGGCAGUUCAAGUCUGCUGUCAAAGACCGGGGCUUAACUUCGGAAAGGCAGUGGAAACUGAACAGCUAGAGUGCAGUAGGGGUAGAGGGAAUUCCCGGUGUAGCGGUGAAAUGCGUAGAGAUCGGGAAGAACAUCGGUGGCGAAAGCGCUCUGCUGGACUGCAACUGACACUCAGGGACGAAAGCUAGGGGAGCGAAUGGG